This 74-nucleotide transfer RNA is filed under the name Bacteroidota bacterium. RNAcentral describes it as "Bacteroidetes bacterium (groundwater metagenome) tRNA-Ile". It matches the Rfam family "tRNA". Rfam says of the family: Transfer RNA (tRNA) molecules are approximately 80 nucleotides in length. The record is from RNAcentral. RNAcentral also lists the same sequence under 7 other names. Lineage: Bacteria; Pseudomonadati; Bacteroidota.
GGGCCCUUAGCUCAGCUGGUUAGAGCAUCAGACUCAUAAUCUGAGGGUCGCUGGAUCGUUCCCAGCAGGGCCCA